RNAcentral lists this ribosomal RNA (491 nucleotides) under uncultured archaeon. RNAcentral's name for it is "bacterial SSU rRNA". It matches the Rfam family "Archaeal small subunit ribosomal RNA", at positions 68 to 544 of the family's 1478-position model. The record is from RNAcentral.
GGCCCGGCGUGGCGCCCCGCUCAGUAACACGUGGUGAACCUACCCUUCCGUGGGGGAUAACCUCGCGAAAGUGAGGCUAAUCCCCCAUAGCCCUACCGUACUGGAAUGUUGGUAGGGCGAAAGGCCUAGAGGGCAUGGGCCUCUAGACCGCGGAAGGAUGGCACUGCGGCCGAUUAGGUCGUAGGUAGUGUAAUGGACCACCUAGCCGACGAUCGGUACGGGCCGUUAGCGCGGUAGCCCGGAGUGGGCCACUGAAACAGCGGGCCCCGGCCUACGGGCUGCAGCAGGCGGGAAAACUGCACACUCCGCGCAAGCGGGAUGCGGUGAACCCGAGUGGAUCUCUGGAAGAGAUCCUUUUGCCGAGUGUAAACAGCUCGGCGAAUAAGGAGAGGGCAAGACUGGUGCCAGCCGCCGCGGUAACACCAGCUCUUCGAGUGGUAGGCGCGCUUACUGGGCCCAAAGCGUGCGUAGCGGGGCUGGUAAGCUCCAUG